Molecule: ribosomal RNA, 1441 nt
Filed under: metagenome
Description: bacterial SSU rRNA
Rfam family: Bacterial small subunit ribosomal RNA
Source: RNAcentral
AUGCAAGUCGAGCGGAGGGGCAACCCUUAGCGGCGAACGGGUGAGUAACGCGUAGGUAACGUGCCUUCAGGUGGGGAACAACCGUGGGAAACCAUGGCUAAUACCGCAUAAUGUCGAAAGAUGAAAGCCUUCGGGCGCCUGGAGAGCGGCCUGCGUCCCAUUACCUAGUUGGUAGGGUAACGGCCUACCAAGGGAACGAUGGGUAGCUGGUCUAAGAGGAUGAUCAGCCACACUGGAACUGAGACACGGUCCAGACUCCUACGGGAGGCAGCAGUGGGGAAUAUUGCGCAAUGGGGGAAACCCUGACGCAGCCACGCCGCGUGAGUGAAGAAGGCCUUCGGGUCGUAAAGCUCUGUCGGGAGAGACGAAGGGGUAAAACUCUGACGGUAUCUCGCAAGAAAGCACCGGCUAACUCUGUGCCAGCAGCCGCGGUAAUACAGAGGGUGCAAGCGUUGCUCGGAUUUACUGGGCGUAAAGCGUACGCAGACGGACCGUCAAGUCGGGAGUGAAAGCCCUGGGCUCAACCCAGGAACGGCUUUCGAUACUAGCGGUCUUGAGUUUGGGAGAGGGAAGCGGAAUUCCUGGUGUAGAGGUGAAAUUCGUAGAUAUCAGGAGGAACACCGGCGGCGAAGGCGGCUUCCUGGCCCAAUACUGACGUUCAGGUACGAAAGCGUGGGUAGCAAACAGGAUUAGAUACCCUGGUAGUCCACGCUGUAAACGAUGAGUGCUGGAUGUCGGAGGUAUUCACCCCUUCGGUAUCGAAGCUAACGCGUUAAGCACUCCGCCUGGGGAGUACGGCCGCAAGGUUGAAACUCAAAGGAAUUGACGGGGGCCCGCACGAGCGGUGCAGUAUGUGGUUUAAUUCGACGCUACGCGCAGAACCUUACCCAGCCUUGACAUCCUUGGAACCGAGUGGAAACACUUGGGUGCUCUCGCAAGAGAGAGCCAGGAGACAGGUGCUGCAUGGCUGUCGUCAGCUCGUGUCGUGAGAUGUUCGGUUAAGUCCGGCAACGAGCGCAACCCCUGUCUUCAGUUGCCAUCAUUCAGUUGGGCACUCUGGAGAGACUGCCGGCGUCAAGCCGGAGGAAGGUGGGGAUGACGUCAAGUCCUCAUGGCCUUUAUGGUUGGGGCUACACACGUACUACAAUGAUGACUACAAAGGGCAGCCAACCCGCGAGGGGGAGCAAAUCCCAAAAAAAAGUCAUCUCAGUUCGGAUUGCAGUCUGCAACUCGACUGCAUGAAGUCGGAAUCGCUAGUAAUCGCGGAUCAGCAUGCCGCGGUGAAUACGUUCCCGGGCCUUGUACACACCGCCCGUCACACCACGAAAGUUGGAUGGACCCGAAGUCGCUGCUCCGACCCGCAAGGGGGGAAGGCGCCAACGGUCUGUUCGAUGAUUGGGGUGAAGUCGUAACAAGGUAGCCGUAGGGGAACCUGCGGCUG